AUUGAACGCUGGCGGCAUGCCUUACACAUGCAAGUCGAACGGCAGCAUGGAGGAGCUUGCUCCUCUGAUGGCGAGUGGCGAACGGGUGAGUAAAGCAUCGGAACGUACCGUGUAGUGGGGGAUAACGUAGCGAAAGUUACGCUAAUACCGCAUACGCACUGAGGUGGAAAAGCAGGGGAUCGCAAGACCUUGCGCUAUACGAGCGGCCGAUGUCAGAUUAGCUAGUUGGUAGGGUAAAGGCCUACCAAGGCGACGAUCUGUAGCGGGUCUGAGAGGAUGAUCCGCCACACUGGGACUGAGACACGGCCCAGACUCCUACGGGAGGCAGCAGUGGGGAAUUUUGGACAAUGGGGGAAACCCUGAUCCAGCCAUGCCGCGUGAGUGAAGAAGGCCUUCGGAGUGUAAAGACUCUUUCGGCUUGGGAAGGAAAUACGCACACGGACGUAAUAACUCUGUGUGGAGUGACGGUACC
RNAcentral lists this ribosomal RNA (472 nucleotides) under uncultured bacterium. Its description in RNAcentral is "bacterial SSU rRNA". It matches the Rfam family "Bacterial small subunit ribosomal RNA", at positions 30 to 479 of the family's 1533-position model. The record is from RNAcentral.